CUACUUUGAUUUCUCCUCAGAUCAUAUAAAUCUUUCUCCUUUUACUAAAGAUUUCUGGGGAGAGGAGCAAUUAUGAGUUGUUAUUCAAUAUAG
This 93-nucleotide small nuclear RNA is filed under the name Notamacropus eugenii (tammar wallaby). RNAcentral's name for it is "U5 spliceosomal RNA (ENSMEUG00000017955.1)". It matches the Rfam family "U5 spliceosomal RNA". Rfam says of the family: U5 RNA is a component of both types of known spliceosome. The precise function of this molecule is unknown, though it is known that the 5' loop is required for splice site selection and p220 binding, and that both the 3' stem-loop and the Sm site are important for Sm protein binding and cap methylation. The record is from RNAcentral. Lineage: Eukaryota; Metazoa; Chordata; Mammalia; Diprotodontia; Macropodidae.